RNAcentral lists this unclassified non-coding RNA (213 nucleotides) under plant metagenome. Its description in RNAcentral is "partial contains small subunit ribosomal RNA, internal transcribed spacer 1, and 5.8S ribosomal RNA". The record is from RNAcentral.
UUUCCGUAGGUGAACCUGCGGAAGGAUCAUUCAUAUUAAGUGUUUUAUGGCACUUUUUUAAAUCCAUAUCCACCUUGUGUGCAAUGUCAGGGUUGAUUUUUCUCUCGAGAGGAUCAACCCCAAACAUCAACUAUAUCUCAACUCUUUGUCUGAAAAAUAUUAUGAAUAAAACAAUUCAAAAUACAACUUUCAACAACGGAUCUCUUGGCUCUC